UCAGAGUUAACGCCGGCUGUGUGCCUAAUAAUGCAAGUCGAACGAUGAAGCUUCUAGCUUGCUAGAAUGCUGAUUAGUGGCGCACGGGUGAGUAACGCAUAUGUCAUGUGCCUCUUAGUUUGGGAUAGCCAUUGGAAACGAUGAUUAAUACAGAUACUCCCUACGGGGGAAAGAUGUAUCGCUAAGAGAUCAGCCUAUGUCCUAUCGGCUUGUUGGUAAGGUAUACGCUUACCAAGGCUAUGACCGCUAUCCGGCCUGAGAGGGUGAACGGACACACUGGAACUGAGACCCGGCUCAGACUCCUACGGGAGGCAGCAGUAGGGAAUAUUGCUCAAUGGGGGAAACCCUGAUGCAGCAACGCUCGUGCAGGAUGAAGGAUGAUUGUAAACUCCUUCCGUUAGAGAAGAUAAUGACGGUACUUAACGAAUAAGCACCGGCUAACUCCGUGCCAGCAGCCGCGGUAAUACGGAGGGUGCAAGCGCCACUCGGAAUCACUGGCCGUAAGAGCGCGUAGGUGGGAUAGUCAGUCAGGUCGCAAAUCCUAUGGGUUAACCAUAGAACUGCAUUUCUACUACCCUUGGAUCUACGUACUGCAUGACUGGUGUUAACGGUCUCUAGAGUGUGGGAGGUAGGUGGAAUUCUUGGUGUAGGGGUAAAAUCCUUAGAGAUCAAGAGGAAUACUCAUUGCGAAGGCGACCUGCUGGAACAUUACUGACGCUGAUUGCGCGAAAUCGUGGGGACGAAACAGGAUUACAUACCCUGGUAGUCCACGGGGUAGACGAUGGAUGCUAGUUGUUGGAGGGCUUAGUCUCUCCAGUAAUGCAGCUAACGCAUUCCGCAUCCCGCCUGGGGAGUACGGUCGCAAGAUUAAUACUCAAAGGAAUAGACGGGNACCCGCACAAGCGGUGGAGCAUGUGGUUUAAUUCGAAGAUACACGAAGAACCUUCCCUAGGCUUGACAUUGAGAGAAUCCGCUAGAAAUAGUGGGGUGUCUGGCUUGCCAGACCUUGAUACCAGGUGCUGCACGGCUGUCGUCAGCUCGUGUCGUGAGAUGUUGGGUUAAGUCCCGCAACGAGCGCAACCCCCUAACUUAGUGGCUAACAGGUCAUGCUGAGAACUCUAAGGAUACUGCCUCCGUAAGGAGGAGGAAGGUGGGGACGACGUCAAGUCAUCAUGGGGGUUACGGCUAGGGCUACAACCGUGCUCAAAUGGGGUGCACAAGGAGAAGCAACCCUGCGAAGUGGAGCCAAUCUUCAGAACACGUCUCAGGUCGGAUUGUAGGC
This 1282-nucleotide ribosomal RNA is filed under the name Helicobacter pylori. RNAcentral's name for it is "bacterial SSU rRNA". It matches the Rfam family "Bacterial small subunit ribosomal RNA", at positions 24 to 1305 of the family's 1533-position model. The record is from RNAcentral. Lineage: Bacteria; Pseudomonadati; Campylobacterota; Epsilonproteobacteria; Campylobacterales; Helicobacteraceae.